GCCAGUGUGGUGUAGUGGUUUGAGCACUGGACUAUGACUCUGGAGAUCAGGGUUCAAUUCCCUGCUCAGCCA
Molecule: non-coding RNA, 72 nt
Organism: Phrynosoma platyrhinos (Desert horned lizard)
Lineage: Eukaryota; Metazoa; Chordata; Lepidosauria; Squamata; Phrynosomatidae
Source: the annotation of a GenBank genome assembly